UUCGACGUGUCGAUCCUCGAGAUCGGCGACGGCGUGUUCGAGGUGAAGUCCACCAACGGCGACACGUUCCUUGGCGGCGAAGAUUUCGACAUGCGUCUCGUUGGCUAUCUGGCUGACGAAUUCCAGAAGGAGCAGGGCAUCAACCUGCGCAACGACAAGCUCGCCUUGCAGCGCCUGAAAGAGGCCGCUGAAAAAGCCAAGAUCGAACUGUCGUCGACGACCCAGACCGAAAUCAAUCUGCCGUUCAUCACGGCGGAUGCAUCCGGUCCG
This 270-nucleotide unclassified non-coding RNA is filed under the name Hevea brasiliensis (rubber tree). The record is from RNAcentral. Lineage: Eukaryota; Viridiplantae; Streptophyta; Magnoliopsida; Malpighiales; Euphorbiaceae.